UGGGGAAUAUUGCACAAUGGGCGCAAGCCUGAUGCUGCCAUGCCGCGUGUAUGAAGAAGGCCUUCGGGUUGUAAAGUACUUUCAGCGAGGAGGAAGGCGGUAAGGUUAAUAACCUUAUCGAUUGACGUUACUCGCAGAAGAAGCACCGGCUAACUCCGUGCCAGCAGCCGCGGUAAUACGGAGGGUGCAAGCGUUAAUCGGAAUUACUGGGCGUAAAGCGCACGCAGGCGGUCUGUCAAGUCGGAUGUGAAAUCCCCGGGCUCAACCUGGGAACUGCAUUCGAAACUGGCAGGCUAGAGUCUUGUAGAGGGGGGUAGAAUUCCAGGUGUAGCGGUGAAAUGCGUAGAGAUCUGGAGGAAUACCGGUGGCGAAGGCGGCCCCCUGGACAAAGACUGACGCUCAGGUGCGAAAGCGUGGGGAGCAAACA
RNAcentral lists this ribosomal RNA (427 nucleotides) under uncultured bacterium. RNAcentral's name for it is "partial 16S ribosomal RNA". It matches the Rfam family "Bacterial small subunit ribosomal RNA", at positions 355 to 774 of the family's 1533-position model. The record is from RNAcentral.